This 253-nucleotide ribosomal RNA is filed under the name uncultured bacterium. RNAcentral describes it as "partial 16S ribosomal RNA". It matches the Rfam family "Bacterial small subunit ribosomal RNA", at positions 524 to 776 of the family's 1533-position model. The record is from RNAcentral.
UACGUAGGGGGCAAGCGUUGUCCGGAUUUACUGGGCGUAAAGAGCGCGUAGGCGGAAGCUUAAGUGUGGCCUGAAAGCCCCCGGCUCAACCGGGGAAGGUGGCUGCAAACUGGGCUUCUUGAGGGCGAUAGAGGAGGGUGGAAUUCCUGGUGUAGCGGUGAAAUGCGUAGAUAUCAGGAGGAACACCGGUGGCGAAGGCGGCCCUCUGGGUCGACCCUGACGCUGAGGCGCGAAAGCGUGGGGAGCAAACAGG